Molecule: small nucleolar RNA, 113 nt
Filed under: Canis lupus dingo (dingo)
Lineage: Eukaryota; Metazoa; Chordata; Mammalia; Carnivora; Canidae
Description: Small nucleolar RNA SNORA63 (ENSCAFG00020009649.1)
Source: RNAcentral
GUUUGGAUUUAGACUACAACAUAGCUGUUAAGUGCUGUAUUGUCAUUCCCUCUGCUCAAAAUAAAGUUGUUUCUUCCAUCAAAAUCCUAGAGAAGAACACAGGCAACACCCUU